GAUGAACGCUGGCGGCGUGCCUAAUACAUGCAAGUCGAGCGAACAGACGAGGAGCUUGCUCCUCUGACGUUAGCGGCGGACGGGUGCGUCACACGUGGAUAACCUACCUAUCAGACUGGGAUAACAUCGGCAAACCGGAGCUAAUAACGGAUAAUAUAUUGACCUGCAUGGUUCAAUAGUGAAAGACGGUUUUGCUGUCACUUAUAGCUUGAUCCGGACCGCAUUAGCUAGUUGGUAAGGUAACGGCUUACCAAGGCUACGAUGGGUAACCGACCUAAGAGGGUGAUCGGCCAGACUGGAACUGAGACACGGUCCCGACUCCUACGGGAGGCAGCAGUAGGGAAUCUUCCGCAAGGGGGGAAAGCCUGACGGAGCAACGCGGCGUGAGUGAUGAAGGUCUUCGGAUCGGAAAACUCUGUUAGUAGGGAAGAACAAAUGUGUAAGUAACUAUGCACGUCUUGACGGUACCGAAUCAGAAAGCCACGGCUAACUACGUG
RNAcentral lists this ribosomal RNA (497 nucleotides) under uncultured bacterium. RNAcentral describes it as "partial 16S ribosomal RNA". It matches the Rfam family "Bacterial small subunit ribosomal RNA", at positions 28 to 507 of the family's 1533-position model. The record is from RNAcentral.